RNAcentral lists this long non-coding RNA (574 nucleotides) under Monodelphis domestica (gray short-tailed opossum). Its description in RNAcentral is "lncRNA (ENSMODG00000036075.2)". The record is from RNAcentral. Lineage: Eukaryota; Metazoa; Chordata; Mammalia; Didelphimorphia; Didelphidae.
CCAACUGACUCAGUCUGGAACUGAAAGGAAGGAAGGAAGAUGUGUAGCUGAGACUCCCUGAACAAACCAUCCAUCAAGCAACUGGCCUUUGAGGAUCAACUGGCUGAGGGUGAGAGGAAAAUCUCCAGUCUUCCUGGUGGACAGAUUGACUAGGGAAAAGACCUCUACCUUACUGGGACCAUCUGAGGAUACCACAACUGGGAUCUCUGAUACCUGACCAACCAUUGACUCUGAAUAUAGAGGAAGGUGGCAGCAAGGGAAAUUGAUAGAGGAUGAAUACAAAAGUGUGGUUUGAAGCUAUAAGCAUAACAUCAGAAGUGAGAAAGCACAGAAUGAGCUGAGGCCAUUGACAGGGCUGCCUUGGCAUAUAUCAAAACCAAGACAACAUUUUGGAACCACAAAGGAGAAAGUCAAGAUGUGGAGGGGAUCACUGUGUAUAGAAUUAUAUUUCAUUCAAAACAGGAAAUUUCUCAAGCUAAGCAGGGGAGUCAGAGGAAACUUAUAUUUCUAUUUUAAAAUCAACAACAACAAAGCAAACAAACAAAAAUGAAUAAAUUAAUUUUCCCAAGGCCUG